UGAGAAUGUCCAGAACUCUGAAAAACAAGUGAAAGAGUUCAAGGAAAAGGUGGAUAACUUGUAUUCGAGUGAUUGAGUGGAUAUGCCACAACAGUGAGCAUUGCGAAGGCUUUGAAAAUAUUGAUUAUGCUUUAAAAUAUAGAGUAUGUUUAGGAAACAGGAGAGUCAGGUGCUCUGGCUCCGGGAAGGGGAUAAAAUUUCAAAAUUAUUUUUCACUAGUACUAAACAGGGACGAGCAAGGAAUCAGAUAAUCAGGUUAAUAUAUGAUGUUAGAAAUCUG
RNAcentral lists this long non-coding RNA (280 nucleotides) under Brassica napus (rape). Its description in RNAcentral is "long non-coding RNA (BNAP_LNC023443)". The record is from RNAcentral. Lineage: Eukaryota; Viridiplantae; Streptophyta; Magnoliopsida; Brassicales; Brassicaceae.